This 431-nucleotide ribosomal RNA is filed under the name uncultured bacterium. Its description in RNAcentral is "partial 16S ribosomal RNA". It matches the Rfam family "Bacterial small subunit ribosomal RNA", at positions 29 to 507 of the family's 1533-position model. The record is from RNAcentral.
AACGAACGCUGGCGGCAGGCUUAACACAUGCAAGUCGAGCGCCCCGCAAGGGGAGCGGCAGACGGGUGAGUAACGCGUGGGAACGUACCUUUUGGUUCGGAACAACUCCGGGAAACUGGAGCUAAUACCGGAUAAGCCCUAACGGGGAAAGAUUUAUCGCCGAAAGAUCGGCCCGCGUCUGAUUAGCUAGUUGGUGAGGUAACGGCUCACCAAGGCGACGAUCAGUAGCUGGUCUGAGAGGAUGAUCAGCCACACUGGGACUGAGACACGGCCCAGACUCCUCCGGGAGGCAGCAGGGAGAAAUUUUGGACAAGGGCCGCACGCUUGAUCCCGCCUUGCCGCGGGAGUAAUGAGGCCUUUGGGGUUGAAAAGCUUUUUUGCCGGGGAAGAUAAUGACUGUCCGGAAAAAAUAGCCCCCGCCUACCUUCGUC